GACGAACGCUGGCGGCGUGCUUAACACAUGCAAGUCGAACGGAAAGGCCCUGCUUUUGUGGGGUGCUCGAGUGGCGAACGGGUGAGUAACACGUGAGUAACCUGCCCUUGACUUUGGGAUAACUUCAGUAAACUGGGGCUAAUACCGGAUAGGAGCUCCUGCUGCAUGGUGGGGGUUGGAAAGUUUCGGCGGUUGGGGAUGGACUCGCGGCUUAUCAGCUUGUUGGUGGGGUAGUGGCUUACCAAGGCUUUGACGGGUAGCCGGCCUGAGAGGGUGACUGGCCACAUUGGGACUGAGAUACGGCCCAGACUCCUACGGGAGGCAGCCGUGGGGAAUAUUGCACAAUGGGCGGAAGCCUGAUGCAGCAACGCCGCGUGCGGGAUGACGGCCUUCGGGUUGUAAACCGCUUUCGCCUGUGACGAAGCGUGAGUGACGGUAAUGGGUAAAGAAGCACCGGCUAACUACGUG
Molecule: ribosomal RNA, 468 nt
Filed under: uncultured bacterium
Lineage: Bacteria
Description: partial 16S ribosomal RNA
Rfam family: Bacterial small subunit ribosomal RNA
Source: RNAcentral